AACGAACGCUGGCGGCAUGCCUAACACAUGCAAGUCGAACGAGACCUUCGGGUCUAGUGGCGCACGGGUGCGUAACGCGUGGGAACCUGCCCUUAGGUUCGGAAUAACUCCCCGAAAGGGGUGCUAAUACCGGAUAAUGUCUUCGGACCAAAGAUUUAUCGCCUUUGGAUGGGCCCGCGUUGGAUUAGCUAGUUGGUAGGGUAAAAGCCUACCAAGGCGACGAUCCAUAGCUGGUCUGAGAGGAUGAUCAGCCACACUGGGACUGUGACACGGCCCAGACUCCUACGGGAGGCAGCAGUGGGGAAUAUUAGACAAUGGGCGAAAGCCUGAUCCAGCAAUGCCGCGUGAGUGAUGAAGGCCUUAGGGUUGUAAAGCUCUUUUACCCGGGAUGAUAAUGACAGUACCGGGAGAAUAAGCUCCGGCUAACUCCGUG
RNAcentral lists this ribosomal RNA (433 nucleotides) under uncultured bacterium. RNAcentral's name for it is "partial 16S ribosomal RNA". It matches the Rfam family "Bacterial small subunit ribosomal RNA", at positions 29 to 507 of the family's 1533-position model. The record is from RNAcentral.